AUGACUUCACCCCAGUGCUAACAACAAGCACUCUGGUUGACACCAUCUCAGUAUUGGAGAAUCUGGGUAUCAGUGAAGAGCUGGUAGAUAUUAAUGCAGCAGAUAAUGACCCACCGAACACUCCUAACAGCCGUGUGACAUUCAGUAUCAGCAACGUGUCACCCCCCUCUGGCACACAACUGUUCUUUAUCAACCCUACCACAGGACAACUGGUGCUGCGGAAUCCAUUCACUGAUGAUCCUGGUGUUCCAACAUAUACGGUCACCAUCUUAGGCACCAAUGAAGGAUCCCCUUUUCGAGCUGGAGUUCUCACCCUGACAGUAAAUGUGAUCAGGAACACGGCACCUGUGU
Molecule: long non-coding RNA, 351 nt
Organism: Haliotis rubra (blacklip abalone)
Lineage: Eukaryota; Metazoa; Mollusca; Gastropoda; Lepetellida; Haliotidae
Exons: 3
Source: RefSeq, a predicted model, not a curated record